CUAUGUCUAAAAUAAAUAAAUUGAAUUUGUAAUAUAAUGUUUGGUUAAGUUUUUUAAUGAAAUAGAAGAUGAAAAAAACUGAUUUUUGUUGAAACUGAAAUACUACACAAUUUUUAUCAAACAUCAAGGUGUGCAUAAGGCUUGCUCAGUGCUGCACAUGGAAAAGCAUCAUCGUUUUAGUAACUGCAAUGAGUGCAGUAUGAUUUUGUGUGUUGUACAGAUUUCCCAUUGACUACCAACACACCUGAAGACAGCACAAUGCCUACGAAACUGAAGAUUUCUACACUAUAUAUUUCCAUCUUUAUUCCCGCUGUUGCAGUUCUGAUAAUUAUAACUGUCGUCGGCAUUGUCUGUUACAGAAAACGCAAAAGAUCAGAGUCUUUAACCCGGGGGGAAUCUGGAUCUGGAUAUUAUGCAAAUAUUAGCAGAGCAUCAUUAAGCCAAGUCAAAAGACAAGACGUGAGCACAAACCAAGACAGCAAACAAGUUUCUCACUCUAAGGUUAUUGAUGACCCGGUCUAUAUUAACCUCCAGCUUCCCUCAUGUCAGACGUUUCAAACGGCAAAUCCAGUAGACAAUAUAUAUGGAAAUGUAGAUUAUUCACAGUAACAGGAAAGCUACUGGACAUCGUAUGGUCCAUUGGUACUUAAACAGUGCCAGAGGGGCGGAGGUUAUGAAAUCUUAUUUGUCUGUUUGCAAAAAGGAAAGAUAUCUCCAAAAAAUGAUGAAUGGAUUUUCAUGAUGUGCCCGAGGAUGAGAACAGCUGAGGUGAUCCAGCUCUGCCUCAGAUUUAUACAUUUUAGAGUGCAUCUGAGAAGUAUUCAUGGCACUUUAAUUUUUCCACAUUUUUUAAUGUUACAGCCUUAUUUUUAAAUGGAGUAAAGUAAAUAAUUUUCACCUCAAACUUCUACACACAAUACCCCAUAAUGACAAAGUGGGA
Long non-coding RNA from Thalassophryne amazonica, 940 nucleotides. RefSeq lists it as uncharacterized. The record is from RefSeq and is a predicted model, not a curated record. The transcript has 5 exons. Lineage: Eukaryota; Metazoa; Chordata; Actinopteri; Batrachoidiformes; Batrachoididae.